CGGGGGGGGGGGGGGGUCCUCAGCCUGAAUUGCGAGAGGGUGUAAGCCAGGCUAAGGGACCCCACCAAGCACAGA
This 75-nucleotide microRNA precursor is filed under the name Myotis lucifugus (little brown bat). RNAcentral's name for it is "mir-9193 microRNA precursor family". It matches the Rfam family "mir-9193 microRNA precursor family". The record is from Rfam by way of RNAcentral. Lineage: Eukaryota; Metazoa; Chordata; Mammalia; Chiroptera; Vespertilionidae.